This 373-nucleotide ribosomal RNA is filed under the name uncultured organism. Its description in RNAcentral is "partial 16S ribosomal RNA". It matches the Rfam family "Bacterial small subunit ribosomal RNA", at positions 527 to 896 of the family's 1533-position model. The record is from RNAcentral.
GGAGGGUGCAAGCGUUGUUCGGAAUUAUUGGGCGUAAAGAGCGUGUAGGCGGUUCGGUAAGUCAGAUGUGAAAGCCCUGGGCUCAACCCAGGAAGUGCAUUUGAAACUACCAGACUUGAGUACGGGAGAGGAGGGGGGAAUUCCUGGUGUAGAGGUGAAAUUCGUAGAUAUCGGGAGGAAUACCAGUGGCGAAGGCGCCCUCUGGACCGAUACUGACGCUGAGACGCGAAAGCGUGGGGAGCAAACAGGAUUAGAUACCCUGGUAGUCCACGCCGUAAACGAUGAGCACUAGGUGUAGCGGGUAUUGACCCCCCUGCUGUGCCCGUAGCUAACGCAUUAAGUGCUCCGCCUGGGGACUACGGUCGCAAGACUA